Molecule: ribosomal RNA, 433 nt
Filed under: Salmonella enterica
Lineage: Bacteria; Pseudomonadati; Pseudomonadota; Gammaproteobacteria; Enterobacterales; Enterobacteriaceae
Also listed under: 1 other name
Description: partial 23S ribosomal RNA
Rfam family: Bacterial large subunit ribosomal RNA
Source: RNAcentral
CCGAACCGACUAAUGUUGAAAAAUUAGCGGAUGACCUGUGGCUGGGGGUGAAAGGCCAAUCAAACCGGGAGAUAGCUGGUUCUCCCCGAAAGCUAUUUAGGUAGCGCCUCGUGAAUUCAUCUCCGGGGGUAGAGCACUGUUUCGGCUAGGGGGCCAUCCCGGCUUACCAACCCGAUGCAAACUGCGAAUACCGGAGAAUGUUAUCACGGGAGACACACGGCGGGUGCUAACGUCCGUCGUGAAGAGGGAAACAACCCAGACCGCCAGCUAAGGUCCCAAAGUCAUGGUUAAGUGGGAAACGAUGUGGGAAGGCCCAGACAGCCAGGAUGUUGGCUUAGAAGCAGCCAUCAUUUAAAGAAAGCGUAAUAGCUCACUGGUCGAGUCGGCCUGCGCGGAAGAUGUAACGGGGCUAAACCAUGCACCGAAGCUGCGG